GUUAAAAUUUAUGUCAUGCAAACCAUCAUUGGUAGAUCACAAAUCCAUAUCUGCUUCGACAAUUUCUAUCGAUUCACUUACUGACACUCAAUCAGAUAAUGGGGAUCAGCUUAAUGCAGUGGAUAUUGAUAUAAGAAGAACCAAACGAAACAAAUGCGAACCUAGUUGCUCACAUCCACGGGCAUCAACCUUACUAGCAGAACUCAAUCAGCUUGGGAAUGAAAAGGCUGUUAGCAGUAAUCUUCCGUCUUCUCUUGAACUUGAUCUCAUGG
Molecule: unclassified non-coding RNA, 272 nt
Filed under: Hevea brasiliensis (rubber tree)
Lineage: Eukaryota; Viridiplantae; Streptophyta; Magnoliopsida; Malpighiales; Euphorbiaceae
Source: RNAcentral